RNAcentral lists this ribosomal RNA (465 nucleotides) under uncultured bacterium. RNAcentral describes it as "partial 16S ribosomal RNA". It matches the Rfam family "Bacterial small subunit ribosomal RNA", at positions 28 to 507 of the family's 1533-position model. The record is from RNAcentral.
GACGAACGCUGGCGGCGUGCUUAACACAUGCAAGUCGAGCGGUAAGGCCCCUUCGGGGGUACACGAGCGGCGAACGGGUGAGUAACACGUGAGCAAUCUGCCCAUCACAUCGGGAUAACUCCGGGAAACCGAAGCUAAUACCGAAUACGACCACCUCCGGCAUCGGAUGGUGGUGGAAAGUUCCGGCGGUGAUGGAUGAGCUCGCGGCCUAUCAGCUUGUUGGUGGGGUAACGGCCCACCAAGGCUUCGACGGGUAGCCGGCCUGAGAGGGUGACCGGCCACACUGGGACUGAGACACGGCCCAGACUCCUACGGGAGGCAGCAGAGGGGAAUAUUGGACAAUGGGCGAAAGCCUGAUCCAGCAACGCCGCGUGAGGGAUGACGGCCUUCGGGUUGUAAACCUCUUUCAGCAGGGACGAAGCGCAAGUGACGGUACCUGCAGAAGAAGCACCGGCCAACUACGUG